Molecule: ribosomal RNA, 1050 nt
Filed under: Triticum aestivum (bread wheat)
Lineage: Eukaryota; Viridiplantae; Streptophyta; Magnoliopsida; Poales; Poaceae
Description: partial small subunit ribosomal RNA
Source: RNAcentral
AUGGAGCGGGGCCCAGAUGGGGCCGCUCUCGGGGCUCUUGGGCUCGCCGGCAUAUGCCGUGAGACCUUUGUCUUCAUCCGCGCCCGCCGCCCGGGCUUCGCCUCCAUGGCCGGCGAGCUGGUCGGGCUCUCCCUGUCCAGGCUCGCCCACGUCGCCAUCUCCCGCGCCUUCCUCUCUCGCGCAGUCGCUGCCUCCGACGCCGGCGCCGGCUCCGUCCGCCUCGCCGCGAAUUGGGGCUCCUUCUUCCUCGUAGAGGCCGCCUGCCUCCUCUGCGUCGUCCUCCCGUCACUCAGCUUCGCCGCCUACCUCGUCCACUCCGCCGCCCCGCGCUACGGCUUCGUCGACGACCGCGACGCCCGCUCCAUCGCCCACGAGCUCCGCACCGUCCCCAGGUUCCUCGCCAGCGGCCACGCGUCGACCUUCCAAGGCAACUCCCGCAGAGCCGCGCGCGCGCUCAAGGUUGGCUGGCGCCUCGUGGUCACCACCUUCGACGCCUUCCUCCUCCUCCUCGGCUACACCGCCCUCUUCGGCGCCGCCGCCUGGCUCGCGCACCACCACCUUCUCGCCGCCGCUGCUCCGGGUGAGGAGAUCGGCGUGCAGCUUCCGCGGACGGCGGUGCUGCUGGCCGGCGCCGCAUACCUCGCCGGAGCGGCGCACAUCGGCGCGGUGUGGCGCGUCGCCUGCGUGAUGCUGGUGCUGGAGGACGACUGGGGCUUCCGCAGCAUGCACGUGAGCGACGAGCUCCUCGCCGGCAAGUUCUGGGCCGCGGCCCCCGUCCUCUGGACGCUCGACGGGUGCAUCGUGGCCGUGCAGCUGGCCUUCGGGGCGCUGGUUGUGGACAACAGCAUCGGCCUCGGCGUGUGUCUCCGGGUGGCCGCGGGGAUGGUGAUGGCGGCGGCGCUGUGGCUGGCGGUGAUGGCGGGGCAGGUGGCGCAGGUGGUGGUGUACUUCGUGUGCAAGAGCAACCACCGCGGGAGCUCCGAGGGCACGACGGCGAACAACCUGGAGGACGUCGGCCGGAGAGGGCGAGCCACUAGGAAGCGACAGUGA